AAGAAAAAAAAAAUAAGGAGAGAUCCAAGCACCUUUUUUCUAUUCUUUUUAUGGUUGGAGGAAGGUUUUGAGGAUGGGUAGAAAUUAAGGAAGAGUUGGGCAAGAAGGACUUUUGAUUUCCCUUUUCUCUGUUGAAUAAUGUGCAGAACAAUGAUUUUGUAGUCAUUUUGGUUAUAGAGGAAGUUGUGAAAAAUGGGUCGUGGGUGUAUUUGUUAGUACAAUGGGUAAAAAGUAAAAACCUGCUUUCUGGCCCUUUUCACUCCAAUUUUUGAACUUUUGAUUGGUUGAGUUUUGGUUAAGCAGUAGGAUUAAAGUUGAUAUCCUUCUUCCUUAUGCACAUGUUCACCUAAACCUAGAGUGAAGUAGUACCAGUUCCUCCUAUUUCUUAUUCUUUCCUUCCAAUCAUCCCAAACCAGAGUGCUAGUCUAAACCAUAUACUUAAUUCUG
This 447-nucleotide unclassified non-coding RNA is filed under the name Hevea brasiliensis (rubber tree). Lineage: Eukaryota; Viridiplantae; Streptophyta; Magnoliopsida; Malpighiales; Euphorbiaceae. The record is from RNAcentral.